This 474-nucleotide ribosomal RNA is filed under the name uncultured bacterium. RNAcentral describes it as "bacterial SSU rRNA". It matches the Rfam family "Bacterial small subunit ribosomal RNA", at positions 56 to 527 of the family's 1533-position model. The record is from RNAcentral.
UGCAAGUCGAGGGGUAACGAUGUCUUCGGACAGGCGACGACCGGCGCACGGGUGAGUAUCGCGUUUGUAACCUACCUUUAACUGGAGAAUAGCCCGAAGAAAUUCGGAUUAAUACUCCAUAACACUAUGAACUGGCAUCUUUUUAUAGUUAAAGCUCCGGCGGUUAAAGAUGGGCAUGCGUAACAUUAGAUAGUUGGUGAGGUAACGGCUCACCAAGUCUACGAUGUUUAGGGGGUCUGAGAGGAUGGUCCCCCACACUGGUACUGAGACACGGACCAGACUCCUACGGGAGGCAGCAGUGAGGAAUAUUGGUCAAUGGGCGCAAGCCUGAACCAGCCAUGCCGCGUGAAGGAUGACAGCGCUACGCGUUGUAAACUUCUUUUGUACAGGAAGAAACGCUUCUACGUGUAGAAGUCUGACGGUACUGUACGAAUAAGCACCGGCUAACUCCGUGCCAGCAGCCGCGGUAAUACG